AUUGAACGCUGGCGGCAUGCCUUACACAUGCAAGUCGAACGGGUUUUGGGGGCUUGCUCCCAAAGCUAGUGGCGAACGGGUGAGUAAAGUAUCGGAACGUACCAUUCAGUGGGGGGAUAACGUAGCGAAAGUUACGCUAAUACCGCAUAUUCUGUGAGCAGGAAAGCAGGGGGAUCGCAAGACCUUGCGCUGAUUGAGCGGCCGAUAUCAGAUUAGCUGGUUGGUGGGGUAAAGGCUCACCAAGGCGACGAUCUGUAGCGGGUCUGAGAGGAUGAUCCGCCACACUGGGACUGAGACACGGCCCAGACUCCUACGGGAGGCAGCAGUGGGGAAUUUUGGACAAUGGGCGCAAGGCCUGAUCCAGCCAUUCCGCGUGAGUGAAGAAGGCCUUCGGGUUGUAAGCUCUUCGUCAAGGGAAGAAACGAUGCAGUCGAAUAAACUAGCGUUAAUGACGGUACCUUGAUAAGAAGACACCGGCUAACUACGUGCCAGACG
This 495-nucleotide ribosomal RNA is filed under the name uncultured bacterium. RNAcentral describes it as "bacterial SSU rRNA". It matches the Rfam family "Bacterial small subunit ribosomal RNA", at positions 30 to 514 of the family's 1533-position model. The record is from RNAcentral.